UAGAGUUUUGAUCCUGGCUCAGAUUGAACGCUGGCGGCAGGCCUAACACAUGCAAGUCGAGCGGUAGCACAGGAGAGCUUGCUCUNUGGGUGACGAGCGGCGGACGGGUGAGUAAUGUCUGGGAAACUGCCUGAUGGAGGGGGAUAACUACUGGAAACGGUAGCUAAUACCGCAUGAUGUCGCAAGACCAAAGUGGGGGACCUUCGGGCCUCACGCCAUCGGAUGUGCCCAGAUGGGAUUAGCUAGUAGGUGAGGUAAUGGCUCACAUAGGAGACGAUCCCUAGCUGGUCUGAGAGGAUGACCAGCCACACUGGAACUGAGACACGGUCCAGACUCCUACGGGAGGCAGCAGUGGGGAAUAUUGCACAAUGGGCGCAAGCCUGAUGCAGCCAUGNUGUGUGUGUGAAGAANCCCCUUACNGUUGUAAAGAACUUUCAGCGAGGAGGAAGGCGUUGCAGUU
RNAcentral lists this ribosomal RNA (460 nucleotides) under bacterium DM-P2. Its description in RNAcentral is "SSU rRNA". It matches the Rfam family "Bacterial small subunit ribosomal RNA", at positions 1 to 461 of the family's 1533-position model. The record is from RNAcentral.